AGUUCGGAUUGAAGGCUGAAAUUCGCCUUCAUGAAGUCGGAAUUGCUAGUAAUGGCAGGUCAGCAUACUGCCGUGAAUACGUUCCCGGGCCUUGUACACACCGCCCGUCACACCAUGAGAGUUGGAGAUACCCGAAGCCUAUGAGCUAACUUUUAGAGGCAGUAGUCGAAGGUAGAAUCAAUGAUUGGGGUGAAGUCGUAACAAGGUAGC
RNAcentral lists this ribosomal RNA (210 nucleotides) under uncultured bacterium. RNAcentral's name for it is "partial 16S ribosomal RNA". It matches the Rfam family "Bacterial small subunit ribosomal RNA", at positions 1290 to 1500 of the family's 1533-position model. The record is from RNAcentral.